AUAGGUUUAGGGCACUGGAAGGUCCCUAAACCGAAAGGGNNUCUGCCCGCCCGAGGAUGGGCCGGCGGCCGAUUAGGUAGUUGGUGGGGUAACGGCCCACCAAGCCCAUAAUCGGUACGGGCAGUGAGAGCUGGAGCCCGGAGAUGGACACUGAGACACGGGUCCAGGCCCUACGGGGCGCAGCAGGCGCGAAACCUCCGCAAUGCUCGAAAGAGCGACGGGGGGACCCCAAGUGCCGUGGUACAACCACGGCUUUUCCGGAGUGUAAGAAGCUCCGGGAAUAAGGGCUGGGCAAGGCCGGUGGCAGCCGCCGCGGUAAUACCGGCGGCCCGAGUGGUGGCCACUAUUAUUGGGCCUAAAGCGUCCGUAGCCGGGCUUGUAAGUCCCUGGCGAAAUCCCACGGCUCAACCGUGGGGCUUGCUGGGGAUACUGCAAGCCUUGGGACCGGGAGAGGCCGGGGGUACUCCUGGGGUAGGGGUGAAAUCCUAUAAUCCCAGGAGGACCGCCAGUGGCGAAGGCGCCCGGCUGGAACGGGUCCGACGGUGAGGGACGAAGGCCAGGGGAGCAAACCGGAUUAGAUACCCGGGUAGUCCUGGCUGUAAAGGAUGCGGGCUAGGUGUUGCUUGGACCUCGAGUCCAAG
RNAcentral lists this ribosomal RNA (641 nucleotides) under uncultured archaeon. RNAcentral describes it as "bacterial SSU rRNA". It matches the Rfam family "Archaeal small subunit ribosomal RNA", at positions 156 to 795 of the family's 1478-position model. The record is from RNAcentral.